RNAcentral lists this ribosomal RNA (508 nucleotides) under uncultured bacterium. RNAcentral's name for it is "partial 16S ribosomal RNA". It matches the Rfam family "Bacterial small subunit ribosomal RNA", at positions 30 to 523 of the family's 1533-position model. The record is from RNAcentral.
AUUGAACGCUGGCGGCAGGCCUAACACAUGCAAGUCGAGCGGCAGCGGGAAAGUAGCUUGCUACUUUUGCCGGCGAGCGGCGGACGGGUGAGUAAUGCCUGGGAAAUUGCCCAGUCGAGGGGGAUAACCGUUGGAAACGACUGCUAAUACCGCAUACGCCCUACGGGGGAAAGCAGGGGACCUUCGGGCCUUGCGCGAUUGGAUAUGCCCAGGUGGGAUUAGCUAGUUGGUGAGGUAAUGGCUCCCCAAGGGGGCGAUCCCUAGCUGGUCUGAGAGGAUGAUCAGCCACACUGGAACUGAGACACGGUCCAGACUCCUACGGGAGGCAGCAGUGGGGAAUAUUGCACAAUGGGGGAAACCCUGAUGCAGCCAUGCCGCGUGUGUGAAGAAGGCCUUCGGGUUGUAAAGCACUUUCAGCGAGGAGGAAAGGUUGAUGCCUAAUACGUAUCAACUGUGACGUUACUCGCAGAAGAAGCACCGGCUAACUCCGUGCCAGCCGCCGCAGUAA